AGAGUUUGAUCAUGGCUCAGGGCGAACGCUGGCGGCGUGCCUAACACAUGCAAGUCGAGCGGGUACCCGCAAGGGUACCAGCGGCGCACGGGUGAGUAACACGUGGGUAAUCUACCCCUCGGAGGGGGAUAACCGGGGGAAACUCCGGCUAAUACCCCAUACGAUCCAACAACACAAGUUGUUGGAUGAAAGGAGCGUUUGCUCCGCCGAGGGAUGAGCCCGCGGCCCAUCAGGUAGUUGGUGGGGUAAUGGCCCACCAAGCCUACGACGGGUAGCCGGCCUGAGAGGGUGGUCGGCCACAAGGGCACUGAGACACGGGCCCUACUCCUACGGGAGGCAGCAGUGGGGAAUCUUGGACAAUGGGCGAAAGCCUGAUCCAGCGACGCCGCGUGGGGGAUGAAGCCCUUCGGGGUGUAAACCCCUGUUGCGAGGGAGGAAUAAGGCCUGGAGGAAAUGCCAGGCCGAUGACUGUACCUCGCGAGGAAGCCCCGGCUAACUACGUGCCAGCAGCCGCGGUAAUACGUAGGGGGCGAGCGUUACCCGGAUUCACUGGGCGUAAAGCGGGUGUAGGCGGCUCGGUAAGUCGGGUGUGAAAUCCCACAGCUCAACUGUGGAAUUGCGCCCGGAACUGCUGAGCUUGGGGCCGGUAGAGGGAGACGGAACUGCCGGUGUAGGGGUGAAAUCCGUAGAUAUCGGCAGGAACGCCGGUGGGGAAGCCGGUCUCCUGGGCCGCGCCCGACGCUGAGACCCGAAAGCUAGGGGAGCAAACCGGAUUAGAUACCCGGGUAGUCCUAGCCGUAAACGAUGCCCACUAGGUGUGGGGGAUUAAUUCCUCCGUGCUGUAGCUAACGCGUUAGUGGGCCGCCUGGGGAGUCGCCCGCAAGGUGAAACUCAAUGAAUUGACGG
RNAcentral lists this ribosomal RNA (906 nucleotides) under uncultured Thermotoga sp. RNAcentral describes it as "bacterial SSU rRNA". It matches the Rfam family "Bacterial small subunit ribosomal RNA", at positions 8 to 916 of the family's 1533-position model. Lineage: Bacteria; Thermotogati; Thermotogota; Thermotogae; Thermotogales; Thermotogaceae. The record is from RNAcentral.